AGAGUUUGAUCCUGGCUCAGGAUGAACGCUAGCGGCAGGCCUAAUACAUGCAAGUCGAACGGUAAGGCCCUUUCGGGGGUACACGAGUGGCGGACGGGUGCGUAACGCGUAUGCAACAUACCUUCAAGCGGGGGAUAUGCCAGGGAAACUUGGUGCAACACCCCAUAGCAUUUCGGGACCGCAUGGUCUUGGGAUUAAAUAUUUAUAGCUUGGAGAUUGGCAUGCGUGACAUUAGCUAGUUGGCGGGGUAACGGCCCACCAAGGCGACGAUGUCUAGCUGGUCUGAGAGGAUGAUCAGCCACACUGGGACUGAGACACGGCCCAGACUCCUACGGGAGGCAGCAGUAGGGAAUAUUGGACAAUGGGGGGAACCCUGAUCCAGCCAUGCCGCGUGAGGGAAGAAGGUCCUCUGGAUUGUAAACCUCUUUUGGCGGGGGACAAACCUGCACUAUACGUGCAGCUGAGGGUACCCGCAGAAUAAGCACCGGCUAACUCCGUG
This 499-nucleotide ribosomal RNA is filed under the name uncultured bacterium. RNAcentral describes it as "bacterial SSU rRNA". It matches the Rfam family "Bacterial small subunit ribosomal RNA", at positions 8 to 507 of the family's 1533-position model. The record is from RNAcentral.